Setaria italica (foxtail millet) is the source of this 3339-nucleotide long non-coding RNA. RefSeq lists it as uncharacterized. The transcript has 2 exons. The record is from RefSeq and is a predicted model, not a curated record. NCBI's taxonomy places the organism in Eukaryota, Viridiplantae, Streptophyta, Magnoliopsida, Poales, Poaceae.
AAUUCCAGUAGCGCCGCCUCCUCCCACCGCCCCUCGCCAAACAUCUAGGAGCGCCGGCACCUCUCCGCCUCCAGCAGCGCCGUCACCUCUCCGCCUCCUCCUGAAAGAAGAAAAAUCGCUCCUCCUCCCCACAGCCAUCGCCCAGGCGUGUAUCCUCCGAUCGACAGUCGUCCACCUGCACCUCCCCCACCUGUCUCACGCCGUCCAGGUUUUGGCUCUGCCUUUCUCCCCACACGAACGGGAUCGAUCUUGGGGCACCUCAUUCGAUGUGUAGCCCCCUCCACUCAAUGGUGGUUAGGUUUUUGGUAUUGGGGAUCCUUUUUUCCUACUACUAGUUUGGGGAUGUUCUCUCCUGUCAAUUUUUCACCAAUGUGAAUUGAUUUGAUUUAGAGACAUUUUUCCCUGUGAUUGAUUUUCUUUUCUUCUUCCACAUUCUGGUCUGGUAUGCAACAUCCCCCCUAUUCCUCUAGCUGCCUGGAUUUCUUGAUGCAGGUCAGGUUCUAUUUACACACUGCAUUGAGCCUCACUUCCUUGUACGCCUUUUGUUUCGUUGGUUUAAUAUUGUUUCAUGUAUCUAUUAGUUCAAUAUUUACAUAUGCUUUUGUCCUCUCGUGAAUUGAGUGAAUAAAAGAAUACUUAUGCAGAUGAGUUUUAGCAAAGGAAAACCUAGCGAGAAAAUCCUUCCUUAUCUUUGAUAAGCAAUUUUAAAAUUGUUUAUGCCAAUUUCAGUCUUUCAUAUUUGUUUUCAUGUUUAUUGAAAUGCCUGCCCCAAGUUUUCAUAUUUUCAAUAUAUUUGACCUUUAGCCUUGAUGCGCCAUAUUUAGGACGAAAAAGGCCAUCUCACAGGAUAGGUGUCCUAACUGAAGCAAAGCUGGCUUUAUAUUUGUGGCGAUUCUGGUAGUUCUGUUUGUUUAGAACAUUGUUGGUAUUCAAAAUAUCCAUGACAUGUGAUUUUUUUUUAUCGUAUAGCCAAAAGCCUGAAUAUUCAUGUAUGCACCUUAUGCGGGAUUAGAUUGUGAUUAGCAUGCCCACAACUAAUAUAUUUGGGGUCUGAACUAUGGUUUGAGGUGCUAUGGGAAACAAUGGGUAUAGCUUUUGAUGUUGGAUAUGUUGCUUCUGAUAGAACAGAAUAUGAGCAUCCCAAGCAGGUGUCCCACUUUGUUCAUUAAUGGAUACAUGAGGGAACAGUUGCAUAAGGUGAGUCUUCAUUGCUUUAUUUCAAUCCAUUAGUUAGGAAUCCUACUGCUUAAGAUAUUAAUGUUUUCUCCAAGAGUAAAAAUGCUUCCCAAGUAAUUAUGGGUUAUUAAAUUAUAUUUCGUUAUGAUAUUAAUGAUGUGCUUUUUCAAAAUACAUUAUUGAGCCAAAUUCCUUGGUGUUAUGUAACCUUGAUUCCUUGGUGUUAACUGUUAAGUUUUCUAUUUAGGUCCAAAACAUCAUGCACAUAUAUCUGAACGGGUUUCAAUCACUGCAGAAUAAUUAGCUACCUUCAGGAAUUGGGAUGCCAAUUCCAGUAAUCAUAAUCUUGCUUUUUAUUUAGUAAUGAUAUUGCUAACCAAUUUCAGCUAUUCAUGGAUCUUUUAUGUUAUAAUUGUAAACCUAGACUAAUUUGAAAUAGUUGUGAAAUAAUAAGCUAUGUUCAGGAUCAUAUAUGCUAUUUUUUUCUCUAGAUCUUCCUGAUCAAAUUUACAUGGUUCAAUGCUCUGGCCAUGUUGGAAUUAUCACCACAGAUUACAGAAUGGAGGUAGAUGGAUGGUUAAGCCUCCUACUCCGGCCUUUUUUGCUACAGUUAGCACUGUCCCUUCUAAAGAGAUCCACUACAGUUUGCUGAAUAUUAAGAUAUACCGUUAGCUACUCCACUGUACACAUUUCUUUUGCAGGUUGUUCUUCACCUGACAGGUAAAAGGUCUGAAGCAUCCUUUGCAUAUCCGUGUGCUAAUCUUCUUUUCAUACAUUCUGGUAGGCCAACAUUUAUAGGAUUUUUUGUUGUAUGACAUUUUCCAUAACGAUAUGCGUACAUUCUUGCUUGAUGUGGCAACACCAUUCACUUAUUUUCCUAGAAACAUGCCAGUUUAAUAUUUUCAUAAUUAGAUGUUUGCACACAAUUUUCAUAAAUUGAGGUGUUUAUGGUAGAUUCUAGGAUGAUUGUGUUUAGAGUUUAGACUAAAUGGUUAUUUUUUCCUCGCUUGUGUAGACGAAAUAAGAUAAAUUUAUUGUGAAUUGCAUAUGAUUUUAGAAAUUAAAUUAAUCCGCAUGUUAGUCCAAGUAAAACUCCUGCCACAAUGCUUGCAUGCAUUGCACCACCAGGCCAAAGUAUUUGCCUUGCUACGUAAUCCUAUACUGAACUAUUAAUGAGGGAACUCAUGAAUGUAAGGCUGCUUUGCUGCUCCAAAUAAGGCUCCUACGAGACAUAGAAGUUGUCCUAUUUCUUUGUGUUUGAGUCUCUUCAGUUGCCAGUACUCAAUAUGGAGUUGUUGAUUUGUGAAUUAUUUGUGUAUAAAUGUGCAGAUCGAGGUAUUUCAAUGUUAGGUUUAUAUACAACUACAAUGUCGGAUUCACUUAGAGAAUAAUUUGUUAGAUUUAGGACAAGAGAUGCCAAGUUCAGUAAUACUGAUCUCUUUUAUGUCAAAUUUGUAGUUCAUAUCCACAAUAUUAUACAUGUAUCAGAAAUUCUGAACUAAUCUGAUUCUCUUGUAGAAUAAUCAGAUACAUUCUGGAUCAUGGGUACUAUUUCAGUAUUUUGGGUCUGAAUCUCUUUGGUUGAAUUAGUAGGUUGAAUGUUCUGUUUGUCUGGGCAGUGUUGGAAUUCUCACUACAACUUACAUAAUCAACUGCUCUUGUUGGGUGACAGUUAAUACUACAUUGGCUUCUUGUAAAGAAAUGCAUAGACAGUUCACUGAACAUUAAGACUUAUACCCAGAUAUUGGACAAGUCCCUUUUGGUAUUUUUGGGCCAACCUUUAUAUGAGUAUGUAUUCCCUGAAAAUACAGGUACCUGAAAUAUUUACUGCGGCUGUUAUAUAUUCUAACAUCUUGCUCUUCACAUCUCUUAUGCAGGUUGUUCUUUACCUGGAGCUUUAUGCAAACUGUAUGGUGUACAUCAUGCUACUAGCAGACUAGUUAUCAUCACUGUUUCCGUCGGCAACAAUUAGCUUUUGCUGAUUUUAACCUGAUUGCACAUAACCUCUUUGCAAUCACAAUGGUAUUAGCAAUUCGUCCUUUUUUUUCAGAACAUCAGUGUUCUCUCAUGCCUUCCUUGUAAGUAGAAAUACUACAAAUUAUUCUUAGCUUUAUCGGACCACUUGCAACCAUGUGUCCUACAUUCUAGGGCGUGUUCGGUUCC